CUUAUCAAGAGUGGCGGAGGGAACAGGCCCGAUGAUGCCCGGCAACCUAACAUUAUCGGUUAAGGUGCUAAGUCCUGCGGAGAUUUCCGGAAGAUGAGG
This 99-nucleotide non-coding RNA is filed under the name uncultured Ruminococcus sp. Its description in RNAcentral is "SAM riboswitch (S box leader)". It matches the Rfam family "SAM riboswitch aptamer (S box leader)". From Rfam's summary of the family: The SAM riboswitch is found upstream of a number of genes which code for proteins involved in methionine or cysteine biosynthesis in Gram-positive bacteria. The SAM riboswitch acts at the level of transcription termination control. Lineage: Bacteria; Bacillati; Bacillota; Clostridia; Eubacteriales; Oscillospiraceae. The record is from RNAcentral.